CAGGGUAUAGACCCGAAACCCGGUGAUCUAGCCAUGGGCAGGUUGAAGGUUGGGUAACACUAACUGGAGGACCGAACCGACUAAUGUUGAAAAAUUAGCGGAUGACUUGUGGCUGGGGGUGAAAGGCCAAUCAAACCGGGAGAUAGCUGGUUCUCCCCGAAAGCUAUUUAGGUAGCGCCUCGUGAAUUCAUCUCCGGGGGUAGAGCACUGUUUCGGCAAGGGGGUCAUCCCGACUUACCAACCCGAUGCAAACUGCGAAUACCGGAGAAUGUUAUCACGGGAGACACACGGCGGGUGCUAACGUCCGUCGUGAAGAGGGAAACAACCCAGACCGCCAGCUAAGGUCCCAAAGUCAUGGUUAAGUGGGAAACGAUGUGGGAAGGCCCAGACAGCCAGGAUGUUGGCUUAGAAGCAGCCAUCAUUUAAAGAAAGCGUAAUAGCUCACUGGUCGAGUCGGCCUGCGCGGAAGAUGUAACGGGGCUAAACCAUGCACCGAAGCUGCGGCAGCGACACUGUGUGUUGUUGGGUAGGGGAGCGUUCUGUAAGCCUGUGAAGGUGUGCUGUGAGGCAUGCUGGAGGUAUCAGAAGUGCGAAUGCUGACAUAAGUAACGAUAAAGCGGGUGAAAAGCCCGCUCGCCGGAAGACCAAGGGUUCCUGUCCAACGUUAAUCGGGGCAGGGUGAGUCGACCCCUAAGGCGAGGCCGAAAGGCGUAGUCGAUGGGAAACAGGUUAAUAUUCCUGUACUUGGUGUUACUGCGAAGGGGGGACGGAGAAGGCUAUGUUGGCCGGGCGACGGUUGUCCCGGUUUAAGCGUGUAGGCUGGUUUUCCAGGCAAAUCCGGAAAAUCAAGGCUGAGGCGUGAUGACGAGGCACUACGGUGCUGAAGCAACAAAUGCCCUGCUUCCAGGAAAAGCCUCUAAGCAUCAGGUAACAUCAAAUCGUACCCCAAACCGACACAGGUGGUCAGGUAGAGAAUACCAAGGCGCUUGAGAGAACUCGGGUGAAGGAACUAGGCAAAAUGGUGCCGUAACUUCGGGAGAAGGCACGCUGAUAUGUAGGUGAAGUCCCUCGCGGAUGGAGCUGAAAUCAGUCGAAGAUACCAGCUGGCUGCAACUGUUUAUUAAAAACACAGCACUGUGCAAACACGAAAGUGGACGUAUACGGUGUGACGCCUGCCCGGUGCCGGAAGGUUAAUUGAUGGGGUCAGCGCAAGCGAAGCUCUUGAUCGAAGCCCCGGUAAACGGCGGCCGUAACUAUAACGGUCCUAAGGUAGCGAAAUUCCUUGUCGGGUAAGUUCCGACCUGCACGAAUGGCGUAAUGAUGGCCAGGCUGUCUCCACCCGAGACUCAGUGAAAUUGAACUCGCUGUGAAGAUGCAGUGUACCCGCGGCAAGACGGAAAGACCCCGUGAACCUUUACUAUAGCUUGACACUGAACAUUGAGCCUUGAUGUGUAGGAUAGGUGGGAGGCUUUGAAGUGUGGACGCCAGUCUGCAUGGAGCCGACCUUGAAAUACCACCCUUUAAUGUUUGAUGUUCUAACGUGGACCCGUGAUCCGGGUUGCGGACAGUGUCUGGUGGGUAGUUUGACUGGGGCGGUCUCCUCCUAAAGAGUAACGGAGGAGCACGAAGGUUGGCUAAUCCUGGUCGGACAUCAGGAGGUUAGUGCAAUGGCAUAAGCCAGCUUGACUGCGAGCGUGACGGCGCGAGCAGGUGCGAAAGCAGGUCAUAGUGAUCCGGUGGUUCUGAAUGGAAGGGCCAUCGCUCAACGGAUAAAAGGUACUCCGGGGAUAACAGGCUGAUACCGCCCAAGAGUUCAUAUCGACGGCGGUGUUUGGCACCUCGAUGUCGGCUCAUCACAUCCUGGGGCUGAAGUAGGUCCCAAGGGUAUGGCUGUUCGCCAUUUAAAGUGGUACGCGAGCUGGGUUUAGAACGUCGUGAGACAGUUCGGUCCCUAUCUGCCGUGGGCGCUGGAGAACUGAGGGGGGCUGCUCCUAGUACGAGAGGACCGGAGUGGACGCAUCACUGGUGUUCGGGUUGUCAUGCCAAUGGCACUGCCCGGUAGCUAAAUGCGGAAGAGAUAAGUGCUGAAAGCAUCUAAGCACGAAACUUGCCCCGAGAUGAGUUCUCCCUGACCCUUUAAGGGUCCUGAAGGAACGUUGAAGACGACGACGUUGAUAGGCCGGGUGUGUAAGCGCAGCGAUGCGUUGAGCUAACCGGUACUAAUGAACCGUGAGGCUUAACCUUACAACGCCGAAGGUGUUU
Molecule: ribosomal RNA, 2262 nt
Filed under: Escherichia coli
Lineage: Bacteria; Pseudomonadati; Pseudomonadota; Gammaproteobacteria; Enterobacterales; Enterobacteriaceae
Description: partial 23S ribosomal RNA
Rfam family: Bacterial large subunit ribosomal RNA
Source: RNAcentral